CUGACCUCAAAUCAGGUAGGACUACCCGCUGAACUUAAGCAUAUCAAUAAGCGGAGGAAAAGAAACUAACAAGGAUUCCCCUAGUAACUGCGAGUGAAGCGGGAAAAGCUCAAAUUUAAAAUCUGGCGGUCUUCGGCCGUCCGAGUUGUAGUCUGGAGAAGCGUCUUCCGCGUCGGACCGUGUACAAGUCUCUUGGAACAGAGCGUCAUAGAGGGUGAGAAUCCCGUCUUUGACACGGACUACCGAUGCUUUGUGAUGCGCUCUCAAAGAGUCGAGUUGUUUGGGAAUGCAGCUCAAAAUGGGUGGUAAAUUCCAUCUAAAGCUAAAUAUUGGCGAGAGACCGAUAGCGAACAAGUACCGUGAGGGAAAGAUGAAAAGCACUUUGGAAAGAGAGUUAAACAGUACGUGAAAUUGCUGAAAGGGAAACGAUUGAAGUCAGUCGCGUCGUUCAGAACUCAACCUUGCCUUCGGGCUCGGUGCACUUUCUGUUUGACGGGCCAGCAUCAGUUUUGACUGUCGGAAAAAGGUCUUCGGAAUGUGGCACCUCCGGGUGUGUUAUAGCCGUUGGUCGUAUACGACGGUUGGGACUGAGGACCGCAGCACGCCUUUUGGCCGGGGUUCGCCCACGUACGUGCUUAGGA
RNAcentral lists this ribosomal RNA (641 nucleotides) under Phlebia tremellosa. Its description in RNAcentral is "eukaryotic LSU rRNA". It matches the Rfam family "Eukaryotic large subunit ribosomal RNA", at positions 1 to 618 of the family's 3401-position model. The record is from RNAcentral. Lineage: Eukaryota; Fungi; Basidiomycota; Agaricomycetes; Polyporales; Meruliaceae.